CGCGUAGGCGGCCUGGUAAGGUUGCGGUGAAAGCCCGGGGCUCAACCCCGGGUCGGCCGUGGCAACUGCUGGGCUGGAGCACUGUAGAGGCAGGUGGAAUUCCGGGUGUAGCGGUGGAAUGCGUAGAGAUCCGGAAGAACACCGGUGGCGAAGGCGGCCUGCUGGGCAGUGGCUGACGCUGAUGCGCGACAGCGUGGGGAGCAAACA
Molecule: ribosomal RNA, 207 nt
Filed under: uncultured bacterium
Lineage: Bacteria
Description: partial 16S ribosomal RNA
Rfam family: Bacterial small subunit ribosomal RNA
Source: RNAcentral